AUAGAGCCUUAGUAGUAUAAUUAAUACACUGGUCUUG
RNAcentral lists this transfer RNA (37 nucleotides) under Crocidura palawanensis (Palawan shrew). RNAcentral describes it as "partial tRNA-Thr". The record is from RNAcentral. Lineage: Eukaryota; Metazoa; Chordata; Mammalia; Eulipotyphla; Soricidae.